Small nuclear RNA from Nannospalax galili (Upper Galilee mountains blind mole rat), 103 nucleotides. Lineage: Eukaryota; Metazoa; Chordata; Mammalia; Rodentia; Spalacidae. The record is from Ensembl.
GUGCUCACUUCAGCAGCACAUAUACUAAAAUGGAAUGAGACAGAGAUCGGCAUGGGCCCUGCACAAGGAUAACAAGCAAAUCUGAGAUGCAUUCUGUAUUUUU